UGGCGGCGUGCCUAAUACAUGCAAGUCGAGCGCGGGAAGCGGACAAUCACCCUUCGGGGUGUGCGUCCGUGGAACGAGCGGCGGAUGGGUGAGUAUCACGUGGGCAACCUGCCUGUAAGAUUGGGAUAACUCGCGGAAACGUGAGCUAAUACCGAAUGAAGUCUUUCACCGCCUGGUGAAAGGAUGAAAGAUGGCUCUUGAGCUAUCACUUACAGAUGGGCCCGCGGCGCAUUAGCUAGUUGGUGGGGUAAAGGCCUACCAAGGCGACGAUGCGUAGCCGACCUGAGAGGGUGAUCGGCCACACUGGGACUGAGACACGGCCCAGACUCCUACGGGAGGCAGCAGUAGGGAAUCUUCCGCAAUGGACGAAAGUCUGACGGAGCAACGCCGCGUGAAGUGAUGAAGGUCUUCGGAUCGUAAAACUCUGUUGUCAGGGAAGAACAAGUUGUGUUCUAACAGGACAUGACCUUGACGGUACCUGACCAGAAAGCCCCGGCUAACUACGUGCCAGCCGCCGC
RNAcentral lists this ribosomal RNA (518 nucleotides) under uncultured bacterium. RNAcentral describes it as "bacterial SSU rRNA". It matches the Rfam family "Bacterial small subunit ribosomal RNA", at positions 37 to 518 of the family's 1533-position model. The record is from RNAcentral.